This is a non-coding RNA of Danio rerio (zebrafish), 2846 nucleotides long. NCBI's taxonomy places the organism in Eukaryota, Metazoa, Chordata, Actinopteri, Cypriniformes, Danionidae. The record is from RefSeq and is a predicted model, not a curated record.
UGUUUGCUUGUCUGAUUGUCUUGGUCUUUGUUAUUUGUACUAUUUAAAAAUCCUUAAAAAUACAUGUAUAAAAAAGAAAUUGACACAAUGUUGUUUUGGAUAUAUUCAUCCUUUACAGUGUCUUAUGACUACAUACAUCUUAUGACCACUGUGCAUGAACACAAAAGGUCAAAAAGGCAAAUACAGUCUGAUCAGUCUGUGAACAUACUGCAUUAUAAUUGCACUUUAAUCUGUUUUUCAGUCCAAAGAUCCAUGACGAUGAAAUCGAUGAGCUCUGCACCUCUUCGUUCUCACAUCCCCGAAACGCUCCACCAAAAAUCUCUGCGUCCUCCUACUCCACAAGAGAGAAGUGAAAGAUUACUGCGUGAGCCUCAUUAAGAAUGUUUUAUUUUGUCUGCAUUUUUUUUUCUCCCCCAUCUAUUGUCUCUCCACCCUCUCUCACAGCGAAAGUCUCGGUGGAGUCACAGCCCUGGGUGCACGGCGGCGACGAGAUAAACGCGGAAAAUCAACUGGAAGAAAACAGGGAAGCGAGAGAAGAAGAAGAAGGAAAAAAACGCACAUGCACGGCUGGCCGACGUUGGCCAAAAACUCAAAGGAGAGAUGGUUACACUGCAUCGCCAGCUUGCCUCAUCUGAAUCCCUGACUCCUGACCUCCCCUGAGGAAGGUGCUCACUGUCAGAAGAAGCCCCGGCAUCCAGCGCAGCGCAGAAAGGUGAUUCCUUUAAAGCGGAUGGAGGAGCGAGAGGAGGGGAGCUGUCGCUUGUGUCAGGUUAACCUCCGAGAAACAUCCGGAGCUCAGCAUCUGGGAGACGGAGGGGAGAGAAGAGCUCCAUUUGCGGGCGCAAGUGAGUUUUUGCAUUAAGCAUCCUGCCAUGGCUUUCAUCAGCAUUUCUUUUAUUUAUCUAUCCUUCUUCCUUUCUCACCUCCCCUGAAAUAAAAAAACAACCCCCUCCACCUCCCAAAAAAGAAAAAAAAAAAACAAGGGUAAAACGCCAAACUUUGUGCACUGUCAGUCCCACGGGCUGUGCUUAUUCCCGGAUUUAUGUUAGCAACGGUGUGGUGGUGUUAAAGAGAGAAAGAGAGAGAGCUUUGCAUGCAGAAAGGAAGGAGAUGAUACUGAUGUUUUUGCAGCACAUGUGUUAAGUCACUCACACGCCACUGUAACACCUGAAAUUGCGGCAGCUGCUGCUGUUAAACAUGCUUCUCUUGUUCCAGUUUCAACACCGCAGCAACAGAUAGCAAGUCCUGUAGAGGUCUUUAAGGUAACACAUUAUGAUGUCUGCAACUUUUUUUGUUUUUUUACUAUUGUGUAUUUAUGGUUGAAUUCAUUUGAGAAAGUGUCUUGUGAUGUGUAAGAGAAAAAUAAAAGGCAGUCACUGUAAUUACUUGUUGACUGUGUGGACGUACGCUUAAAAAAAAAAAGUACAGUAUUUAAUAGUGGAUUUAUUUUCUAAUGUUUUUUACUCUUGAUCACACAAAUCGCAAGGAAAUGCUACCAAUCUCCUACGUUUAGGAAAAAAAAGGGUAAAUGAUUACAUAAAAAAAGAAGAAGAAAAUAACAGAUGGGCCUGCCUAAAAAAAUAUGAUUUUCUACAAAUGAUUGCAUUCUCUCCCCUUUGGUGUGAAAAGUAGACUCAAGAACACUUUUAAAUAAUUUGUUCAAUUUGUUCCACAGCCAAAGAAAAGCGGCUUGGUGGAAAUUCAGAUUCAUUAAAACUUAAUUAAUAUGCAUCAUUAUGUAAAUGAGGUUGCAGUUAAUGAGUUCUUAAAAGAAGCCUUCCUUAAUUAGUUCACUUUUUAAUGGCAUCAUCAUUUAUCUUUUUUCUUUGAAGCAGAAUGACGCGAGGACCUCGCCGUUCCCGAAAGUGCUCGAAAAAUUUUCCAUUUUUUAAUUAUUCUUAUUUCCUUAAUUUUUAUAUGAUUAAGAAUGCAUUUAGGGAAGUAAAUAAAUGAGAAAAACUUAGACCUUUUUUCUCUCUCUCUCCCCUCCCAGACUCGCUUAUUUCCAUUAAAACAGAGUCUCUGUAGAUGCCGGAGUGUUUAAAAAGUUAAAGGGAACGCAUCUUCUUACAAAACAAUCAAGGCUGUCUCACGAUUACCUCCUUGGCUUGUGUCGAGUAGCUUCGUUUCUACUAAAUCUGAGCAGCGUCUUAAUUGCUCUCUCCAGUUGGGCUGCAGUAUAUAUUACCACACUCCAUUACUGUUUAUGGAGCCUGAGAUUCAUAUUGCAAAUAUGAAGAUGGCUGUGGUCAUUUCCUUCUGUAUUCAUUCUCUCGUUCAUUCAUUUACAUAUUCAAUCACUUGAAUUAUUUUUUAUUUUUGGUAAACAUAUUACGGGGAAAAUGAGUAAGCGAUCUAGUUUUAGUUCAGCACACUCGCAAAACUAAAUGAGCCGGGCACCUAACUUAGAAAAUCAUGUUUUAUUAUGUAUAUAUUUUUUUUCAGCUGUCAUAUUUGUAAAUUUGUGACCCUGGAAUGAAAGAAGAAUCAGUCUUUACAAUUAUAAAAUAAAAUCUUGCAUCACAUAUAAUGCAAACAUGAGUAGGAUAAUAUUAUAGUAGGGUAAUCGAAUUAUUCUGAUUCGAUUUGAAGAAAGUGUUUAUGAAUGUAUGUGUUUGCAAAGGUAGAUGAUGUGUGUGUGUUUGUGUAUGUUUAUGUGUGUGUGUGUGUGUGUGUGUGUGUGUGUGUGUGUGUGUGUGUGUGUGUGUGUGUGUGUGUGUGUGUGUGUGUGUGUGUGUGUGUGUGUGUGUGUGGAGGAGGAGACACUGUGUUUUAUGUUCCCGCUCACUAACCAUCACUCUGCUCCUAAUUGAUAACCACUGGCAUUUGAUCAGGCGGUCUUCAAA